UUUGAACAAACUGCGAAAAUUAAAAAAAAAUAAACAAAUCUAUUUGUAGAUUAGUUUUACUUCAGCUUCUUUAUCUGAGAAAUCUUUUUUAAUUCCUCGUUUCUGCCGCCAUAAUUUGCUUUUGCUGGUAGAUUUAUGCUUUACUUUUAAUAUACUUAAUGGAUCUUGUAACUUAAUUGCUUCAUUUAUAAACCGUCCAUUAUUUACGCCUAAAAAUUUAAAACAUUUUACUCAUUUCAAUGAUAAUUUUAAAGACCUUUUACGAACAUAUAUAUUCUUAGGACAUCAUUUCCAAAUAACAUCAUUUAAGCUUUCAUCAAAGCACUUUCCAUUUUCUUUUGAAACUACACUAAUAAUCUUAUUCAGUAACUUUUGUCUACGCCUUUUCCAGGAACCAUCAACAGAAACUUGACAAUAUACAGAUUUAUUAUGAAAGACAUUAAGGCGGAAUGCAAGAAGUUGAAAUUUGAAGUCAUUCUUCAAAUCUGAUAUUUGACUUGGGCAAAAGCAAAGAGCAAAGUUGAACUCAAGCUAUACUUGAAAACCGGCGGAUUUCAAGUUAAGGCAAGUUUCCACUCAUUUGUUUUUCUACGGGAACGGGAUAGGGAAGGAAGAAAAAAUCAGUAUUUCUUCGGACAAAUUAAAACUUACUAAGCAUGUCCACGUGAUUUUUUUCCCUCCCCUUUUCCGUUCCCGUUAAAAAAACGGAGGAGAGGAAACUCACCUUUAGACUUGAAAAGCCUACUUGAGAAAGCAAAUAUCUUUUCCGAACGCAAGUCGCGACCUGAGUGCUUACUUGUUCUAGCUCCAAUUUUGUAAAAAAAUCAAAAUGAUACUAAAGCAGUCAACAAAGCAUCAAUAUUUUUAUAUUUUAAUUGUUGAUUUGUGUAAUAAUGUGCCUGGUACGUGUCAAUUUAAGUUCACUUUGUUCUAUCUCCACUUUUUACAAAACAAAACGACUAAUCAAAUAAAGCGUCACAAAAAAUCUCCAAAGCAGAAAUAUUAUUUAAUGUUUAUUUGUUCAUCAAGCUUUCUUUUAAUAAUUUAAUGACAAUUUCAAGAUGGCAGAUUGCGAAACUGCACAAAAUGUCUUGUAAUUCUAUAACGCAAGUCGAACUGUGAUUAUUUUGUUUAUUUAUUUAACAAAAUAAGUGAAGGACGAAUAAAGAAAACUCGAAAACAAAACAUACUAAUAUGUGGAAAAGGAAUUGCACAGAAAAAAAAGAGAAUCAAUACUAUAUGAAUUCAAGAACAAUACAAUAUAAAUUCAAGUUGAAGAAAGAAAAUCUGUUGAAAGUAAUUGCUAAAAGUGCAUUUUUUCUUGUGAAUCAAAAAUUACCCCGGAAAAUAUGGAAACUUAUAUUCAAAUA
Molecule: non-coding RNA, 1370 nt
Organism: Hydra vulgaris (swiftwater hydra)
Lineage: Eukaryota; Metazoa; Cnidaria; Hydrozoa; Anthoathecata; Hydridae
Source: RefSeq, a predicted model, not a curated record